Molecule: ribosomal RNA, 253 nt
Filed under: uncultured bacterium
Lineage: Bacteria
Description: partial 16S ribosomal RNA
Rfam family: Bacterial small subunit ribosomal RNA
Source: RNAcentral
UACGUAGGGUGCAAGCGUUGUCCGGAAUUAUUGGGCGUAAAGAGCUCGUAGGCGGUCUGUCGCGUCGGCUGUGAAAUCCCGAGGCUCAACCUCGGGUCUGCAGUCGAUACGGGCAAACUAGAGUAUUGCAGGGGAGACUGGAAUUCCUGGUGUAGCGGUGAAAUGCGUAGAUAUCGGAAGGAACACCAGUGGCGAAAGCGGCUUCCUGGUCCAGCACCGACGUUCAGGCACGAAAGCGUGGGGAGCAAACAGG